GGGCAGGGUGAGUCGACCCCUAAGGCGAGGCCGAAAGGCGUAGUCGAUGGGAAACAGGUUAAUAUUCCUGUACUUGGUGUUACUGCGAAGGGGGGACGGAGAAGGCUAUGUUAGCCGGGCGACGGUUGUCCCGGUUUAAGCAUGUAGGCUGGUUAUCCAGGCAAAUCCGGAUAAUCAAGGCUGAGGUGUGAUGACGAGGCACUACGGUGCUGAAGUAACAAAUGCCCUGCUUCCAGGAAAAGCCUCUAAGCAUCAGGUAACAUUAAAUCGUACCCCAAACCGACACAGGUGGUCAGGUAGAGAAUACCAAGGCGCUUGAGAGAACUCGGGUGAAGGAACUAGGCAAAAUGGUGCCGUAACUUCGGGAGAAGGCACGCUGGUGUGUAGGUGAAGUCCCUGCGGAUGGAGCUGAGACCAGUCGAAGAUACCAGCUGGCUGCAACUGUUUAUUAAAAACACAGCACUGUGCAAACACGAAAGUGGACGUAUACGGUGUGACGCCUGCCCGGUGCCGGAAGGUUAAUUGAUGGGGUUAUCCGUAAGGAGAAGCUCUUGAUCGAAGCCCCGGUAAACGGCGGCCGUAACUAUAACGGUCCUAAGGUAGCGAAAUUCCUUGUCGGGUAAGUUCCGACCUGCACGAAUGGCGUAAUGAUGGCCAGGCUGUCUCCACCCGAGACUCAGUGAAAUUGAACUCGCUGUGAAGAUGCAGUGUACCCGCGGCAAGACGGAAAGACCCCGUGAACCUUUACUAUAGCUUGACACUGAACAUUGAGCCUUGAUGUGUAGGAUAGGUGGGAGGCUUUGAAGCGUGGACGCCAGUCUGCGUGGAGCCAACCUUGAAAUACCACCCUUUAAUGUUUGAUGUUCUAACGUUGGCCCCUUACCGGGGUUGCGGACAGUGUCUGGUGGGUAGUUUGACUGGGGCGGUCUCCUCCCAAAGCGUAACGGAGGAGCACGAAGGUUAGCUAAUCCUGGUCGGACAUCAGGAGGUUAGUGCAAUGGCAUAAGCUAGCUUGACUGCGAGCGUGACGGCGCGAGCAGGUGCGAAAGCAGGUCAUAGUGAUCCGGUGGUUCUGAAUGGAAGGGCCAUCGCUCAACGGAUAAAAGGUACUCCGGGGAUAACAGGCUGAUACCGCCCAAGAGUUCAUAUCGACGGCGGUGUUUGGCACCUCGAUGUCGGCUCAUCACAUCCUGGGGCUGAAGUAGGUCCCAAGGGUAUGGCUGUUCGCCAUUUAAAGUGGUACGCGAGCUGGGUUUAGAACGUCGUGAGACAGUUCGGUCCCUAUCUGCCGUGGGCGCUGGAGAAUUG
RNAcentral lists this ribosomal RNA (1308 nucleotides) under human gut metagenome. RNAcentral describes it as "bacterial LSU rRNA". It matches the Rfam family "Bacterial large subunit ribosomal RNA", at positions 1372 to 2664 of the family's 2925-position model. The record is from RNAcentral.